UUUUUUUUUUUUUUGUUCAUUUUGGUAUGCCAAAGUGAAAUGUAAUAUAGCUCACCAACCUUGACACACUAAAGAAUGAUUGUUUGCCAUAUUUUGACCAAGUAUUGAAUUGUGGAUUGUGAUAUUAAUGGUUGAAAAUAUUUUUCAUUUUUAAAUUUUUGGUUGCAGUGUUUAAUGUAUUAUGGUGUAGAAAAUUCAUUCUAUAUGUAAAAUUUAAUUUAUAAGCAUACAAUAUUAUAUUAAUAAUAAAUGUGGAAAAUUUUAAAUUGUUUUUGUCAUGUUCUUUGUGUGGUUAGAAAUAUGUCAAUUAGAAAGUUCUGCGACGUUUAUGCUUGGACAAAAAAGAAACAAAUAUUAUUUAAAAACAAAUUUAGCCUGGGGAGAAAUUUUGUUUUGUCCACAAAGAUCUUUUCGUUGGCAAAACUAGCUUCCGCCCACGAAACAAACGUGGCCAGAAAGUUUAUUUUUGUCGACGUGAUGAUGAUCAUGGGUAAAAAAUACCUUUCGUUUUUUUGUGGUCAGAAGGUUUACUUUUGGCGACGUGAUGUAAUCGUGGGCAAAAAUACAUUUUUGUCGACAUUUUUUUCGUGGCUAGAAAUAUUUUUUCUGCCCACGAUUUUAAUUUGCAUGAACAUUUGUGCCGACGCAACGUAAAAAACGUAGGCAAAGUAAAAGACGACGGUGUUUCGGCCACCCAACGUGCCCACGAAGAAAAAGUGUUGGCAAAAGGUCUGGCCACGUUUUUCAUAAGAAGUGUCCAUGGUUUUCUGCGUGGGCAAAGACGAAAAUUCUUGUAGUGUCUUUUGUUGUAUGUUUUCUGUAGCCAUAAAAAAUAUUCGGGAAACCUUUUCUCCAAGAAGAAUCCGGUUGUAUGUGGGGUAUCCAAUUACCAUCUUAGUUUCCCUCUAAAUCCAAGUUUACUAAGUUAUCUUGAUGGGUAAAAUAAAUUAAAUGGGACCUUUGAGGAGGUUGUAAAGGAAGUGUCUUAUAGGAAUUCUUUUUCAUAAUGACUUGUUAAGAUAGCUAGUGCUUUUGAUGUUUAAAUAUUACCAAAGGUUCUAAAUUAUGUUAAUUUUGGGGAAGGAAAAACAAUAAAUUGAAGAAUUGAACCCUCGUUGAAGCCAUUUUUAUGGGUUCUCCAUAUACAUUAAUGAGCUAUGUUUGGGUAGAUUUUUCUUAUGGUUGUUGAAUUAAGUUUUGACACUGAAAGUUUUUUUUUUAGGCUUUCUGAAAGUUGAUGUCUGUUCAAGGAAGGGAAUUUUUGGAUUGAGAAAUUAUAGGAUUCAAACUAAGUGUUAAAUAUGAUUUGAUUUAGGCUAUCUCCAUAUUCUAGCUUUUCUGUUUUAGGGAUUGUAUAGUAUGUUUUUUACCCAAAUUUGGAAUUAACGGUAUCUAUCCUUAUCGAGGCUUAUUUGUGUGAAGACACAUUUUUUGUUGUUCAAAAUUCUCUAGAAUGAAAAGAUUCAUUGUGUGUUACACUCACAUGACCUCACACUUUAAUAAUUUGAUAGUUGUUAACCGACCGUUAUGUUGUUCUACCUAGUUUCUUCUUAUGGUAAUCGAUAUUUCUGAUAUUUUUGGUCGACUGUGGAUCAACAUUUAUGGCUGAAGUAAAUGAUUGGCGUGACUCGACGGAUAACCAUAUAUGUUGGGCUACUUCAACUACCAUCUUUCCUACUUUAUAUUUUUUGGAUUUUUGGACCGAGCAUUAGAAGAAAUCUGACCUUUAACGUCGGUUGAAAAAAAAUGAAAACGGAUCUUUAAUGUCAGUUUUUUAAAUGGGGAUGUUUAGUGUCGGUUUUCAACCGUCAUAAAAAAGUUAUGGUAAUUUUUUUUUUUUAAAUUUUGUAGAGUCAAGUAUCCCUCGUUUAGUCUCACAUUUCUUCCUCGCCUCACGAUUUCUUCUCUCUCAAUUUUCUCUCAGUUUCUCCUCACUCUUCUCAAUCUCACUUUACUCCACCGUCAAGUCCGCCACAGUGGUGCCGUCCCAAAUCUUCAAAAGAUAUGUCGUCCAUCGUCGCACUGUUCCAGAUCUUCGAAGAUCUGUCGAACGUCGUCCCAAAUAGAAACCCUAAGUAUUCUCCAUGAAAUUGAAUCCCUUGUUUGAAACUCACGUUCAUCGUGCGACAUCAUCUUCUCUUUUUUGUGAGCCUUGGUAUAUAGCUACAGAUUUUGUUUUUCUUCUUUCACAAUAGUUUCUAAAUUAUCAAAGUUUCAUUUAAGUGUUAAGAUAUCAAUUCGUAGGAACAAGAGCUUAACUUCAAUUUCAAACCAGAAUGGAGAUCCUCCACAUUCCAUGGUCAUCGUGGCUAAUAAUAAGAAGAUAAUGGACACGAAUCCUAGAACAAAUGGGGCAGUAUAUCAUCAAGAUUCAAAACCCUCGAGCAGUAAGUAAGAUUGCACUUUAUUUUCCUAUUUUAACAAAAAGCACAUAGGCAAAAGAAUCAAUAGUUGCAUUUGAAAAGAUAGAAUUAAUUAUAAUAUGUUUUCCAAGUGUACUUAUCAAAGUAAUCUCUUUCGUCUUUUCAAAUUUUCCUCUCCUUUUUCCUUCGUAUUCAUCCUCAAGGUUCCAUGCUUUUUCUCUUCGCUUAUCCUCCAAUCUCUCAUUUUUUUCUCUUUUUUUAUCAAUCUUUUCCCACUCUUUUUUCCUUUUUCCUUAAAUAUAUAUUAACAAAACUGGCCCUCAACGUUUUUAUCGUUCUUUUCUUUUUAAAUUCAUUAUCCUUCUUUUCUUUAAUUUAAGGUAUCUCAUCUUUUCUUCACCUUUUUUAUGGUUUCUUUUAUAAAAAGAAAAGAAUAAUAUUUAUGACCAUUUUUUUAUUUAUAUUUAUAAAAUUAAAUAAACAUGGAAGAUGGAGCUCAAUUGUUAGAGCACUCGCUUGGCCAGUUCGAUAGACACAGUUAGACAUAGUUAGACAUAGGGAUUGAUACCCAUUGGCAGCAUCUCCAUGGUCUUUUAAUCAAAUUCAAUAACACAUCUAUAUUUCUUUAUUUAUUAGAUUGUUGACUAGAAAAUAAGUUGGGGUUUUUUCCUCUUUUUAAAAAGUUAUCUUUCUUUUAAGAAUUCGAUUAAAAACUAUUUCGUAAAAAUAAUUGUAACAAAUGAGAUUUAGACUCACAACCAACACAAGACUUGUGCAAGGGGCACAACCACUUCAGCACAAGUAUAAUUUAGGCAAAGAAAAGCCGAAUUUAAUAUGUACUGUAAUCUAACACUUCAAAAAAUUGAUUCCAAACUAUCUCCAAAUCUAUCAACUUUGUACGGCUAAGCAAGAGAGAUACAAAAAGUAGAAGAUUCCAUUUUAUCAAAAUUAGACACCAUGGAAAUGAAUAUGUUGACUGUUAUAAACCACACACAACUAUAUAAAUACCAAACUCCUAACUCCUAAGUAUUCACGAACAAAACACAUAAACUUUACUACAUAAUAUAUCAUCUUCUAAAACUAUCUGUCCAUCAAAAGUAGAUUGUUGCAGUAUGAGUUUCGUAAUUAAGGGAUCACCCAUUCCAAACAUCGAUCAGCGAAAGGACGUGCAACAAAUUGGAGGGAUUGCAGUGGACAUACACAACGAAGAAAAAUCAGACACUUUGAUUUUCCAUCGUGUGAUAAACGGCCUGGAGCUUGUGAUUAAUGAUAUAAAUGGUAGCAUAUUGUCGUAUACUCUUGUGGUGGAAGCUAUAAAUAAGGAUAAAAAUAUCUGGACAUAUGUGACUUCCAUUAAAAUUACAAAACCAUCAAGCUAUGAACUCGUAUAUUUUAGAGAUCCCCUCGGGUACUACCCCGAAUAGUAUGAAAACAAUCCUUCUAUAUGUGUGUGUGUGUGAGAGGCAUUAUUGUCUUUUGCCUAUAUGAAAAUAAAUGGUAUAACCAUAUAAUAAGAACAAUGAUACUUACCUAUUAUCUCUCUUUCUAGUUUUUCUUUUUUAUCAAAUUUUGCAGUCAAGUAUUCAUGGUGCAUUUCAGAAAUUAUAAUUUGUUAUAUAAUCGUAACUUGUUUGUCUGUCUUAGUACUUCAAUAGGAAUUAAGGGAGAGUAACCAAUGGCAACCCAUAUCUAUGACCUCAUUCUUUUCAAAAUAUAAAACAAACCACAGUUAAUAUCGAUCAUUAAUGCACAACUUCUAGGUAUUUUCCAUUUGUGUUAGACAUCUCCUCCUUUCUCACCACUACCAGAAAAAGUGGCUUUCUUGACCUUUGUAGUUUUAAUUGCUUGACGUCUUUUGAAUAAAAACGUUAAGAAAUGGGUGAUUUCAAAGAAAAAACGUCAAGAAUUUCUAUGAAAAGACGGAGAUAUGCCAAUCUUCAACUUUCUUGACGUUUUUUAAACGUCGAGUAAUAUUUAUUUAUCCUUGACAUUUUAAAAACGUCAAGUUCUAUUAAAUAAAUAAUAAAAAACAAAAACGCGUCGUCUCCCUUCUUUAUCGAAUUAAUUGUUUUGGCCUAGAAAUCUUCUUCUUCAUAUUUCCAAAUUUCGCAUCUUCUUCUUCUUCACGACUGAGUAUUCGAAAUCUCCAUCUUCACAUUGUCGUCACGCAUGAGCUUCCGUAAUCUUCUUCUCCACAGUGUCGUUCGUCACGCCGUCGUCUCGUCACAAUUCUCCGUCUUCGAAAAGUAACCAUCGGUCCUUCACUUGAUCCUCUUGUCUUCAAAAAAUGCACACUCUGUCAUAUGAAAUUGGACAUCUGAAAUCGCCGUUCUUAACGUUGGGGAAGCCCUAUCCCACACCCGUUCUUGAAGAUAUUCGAAAUUUGUUUUCACACUCGUUCGAAAUCACCAUUCGAAAUCGCCACCGGGGAUUAAUUCCAUCUCUUCACACCUAUCUCUUCACACUCAAUCUCUUCCUUUUGAAACAUCCUUGAUGCUUUUGACCGCCGACUGAAGUCCUCCAAACAAACACAUUUUGUUCUCUGACCACAAAUUGAAUUAGGUGCGUUGUCCGGUUAAGUUGAUGCUUUAAAACCAUUUCUUUCUCCAAACGCUUCCUUUUUGUUUUCACAUGAUAAAGAACUGAUAAAUCAUUUUCUCUUUUGGUUUUGGGACGGGAUGAGUGUACUAUACAAAUAUUAACCUAGUUGAGAUGUGUUAGUGUGUGAAAUUUUUCAGAGAAAAAAAAAAAGAGACAUCUUCUCCAAAUUUUUAUCUCCCUCAACUAUCUUCCUUCAAUGUCUUUUAAAGAAAGAAAAAAACCAACACCAACAAACCUUCUAUCCCUUUUUUUUCUUCUUUUUCUUCCUUAAGCUUUUGGGUCUUUUCUUUAAUUAUGUAUACGUCUUUGUCUUUUUUCCUAUUUUUCACAGAGAAGAAAAAAUUUAAAGGAUUUUUUAAAAAAAUAAUAAUAGAAGAAAACAGGUGACGAGAAAAGAAUAAAAUUUUCUUUAUACAUUUUCUUUUCUUUCUCUAUCAUUUAAAAAAAGCAGAUCACUUGGAGUAAAUCUUUACUAAAUACAACUUCUAACUAAGUUUAUUUUAACGUGAGAUUUGAUUUGCUAAAGAAAAAAAAAAAGUAAAGACACAUGAUGAAAUGUAUAAGAAAAAAACUUUCUUUGAAUUGGCAGAGAUUAUCUAAAAAAAUUUUAUUCUACGAAACUUUAUUUCCCACUAUUUUCAAAUGAAAAGGGUCCCUACUUAUAAACCGGGGUAUACCACAAAUAGAAAAAAUGAAUAAGAAUAAAAACAAAAUUAGAUAUUAUGUGAAUAAAAUAAUUUUUCAUUUUCUUAAAAUAAAUUAAAUGAGAUAUUUUGAGAUUUUUGUGAAAAUAAAUUAAUAAAUACGUUACCUAAAUUUGUACAACAUAAAAGUUGAUUAUUAUUAGUUGUCCCACAUUUUAAUUCAAGAGACCCCUCUCAAUAUAUAUUUCAAUUAACCUAAGAUCAAAAGUAACGAGACUAAUUAAAUAUACAAAUUCUCGUUAAAUUAGUUUUUCUUCUAAUCUUCAGCCGACAACCGUGGUGGUUCGCUGUUAUUUUCAUCUUUCACAACUAGCAUCCUUUUGCUAAAUUACUGUUUUUCCUCACAUUUUCUUCAUUCUCUUCCAUCUUUCUCUCUUUUAUUUUCCCUUUGAUACACUUCAUACACACUUGCAAUCAAGAAAAAAUGAGUGGGGUUAGGUAAAAUGUGUCAUUGAAAAUAAAAAUACAGAUUUCCUUUUACACAAAUUAAGUUGUCUUGACACAAUCUUUGCGUUGUUAAUUAACGAUAUAUUUUUUGUGUUAUUAAUUUUUUUUUUAAUUCCCUCUCUCACGCAAUUAAAAUAAACCAUUGGUGCAUUUAUCCUUUUUCUCUUUACCAAAAACAUUCUCCAACUGUGUAACAUCUAUCUGAAACGCUAAAAAACCCUUAUCUUCCAUUUUUCUUCCAUCUACCGCCGCCGAGACAGUCCUCCAGCCACCGUCGUCGAAAUGCCAAACCAAGCCAACGUCGUCGAACCGAGAAAUUUAACCACUACAGUCGAAUAAUUUUUGUUUUAAAAGGAUACUCUAGCCACCUAAUUUUAUCCUACAUUUUUUUAUAUAUAUUUUUUAAAAUAAUGACUAAGAUUUUUUAUUUUUCCUUAUAAUAAUCAUUUUAUUAAAAAAUUUCUUUGACGACCAUAUUUAUCAUAAAAAAAUCAAUUUAUUUAAAACAAAUCUUUUAAUGUUAGAUUUACCUUAUUUGUACUAGGAAAAAGAUAUUUGUUUUUCCUUAUUGUUAGCCUCCAACUCUUUGAGCAACCGACUAAGGUAAUCCAUUGCAAGCAAGAAAAUAAAGGGGGAGAUUGGAUCACCUUGUCUAAUACCUCUAAUAGGUUGUAUUUUUCCCCUUUGGUCUUUCAUUAAUUAGUAUGGAGUAUUUUACACUGCUAAGACAGUUGCUUAUCCAAGAUCUCCAUUUAUUUGGGAAUCCUUUUUUCAACCGGAUGAAGUCUAUAAACUACCAAUUUAACUUGUCAAAAGGCCUUUUCAAUAACAAGUUUAAUUAUAAAGCCCUUUGUUUUUUUUACUUUCCAGAAAUCAACAACUUCGUUGGCAAUCAAGAUAGCAUCAGUUGUCUGUCUCCCCCUAACAAAGGCCAUUUGGUUUUCGGAAUCCGUAUCAUGGAGAGUGUUUUUUAGCCUUUCUGUAAGGAAAGAUCAAGCCUAGCGAAGCGAAGCGACCACUGGAGAUUAAUGUAAUAGCGAGACCAAUCUAAAGGAUGCGAAGAAGAAGAUUGACUUAAGAGGAGAUAAAGACUUUAAAAAAAGUUCAGACGAGACUGCUCUGUUAGGAUCGAAGAGGUCUGGAGGACCCGUCCAGAGGCGCGAAGCGAAGCGACUGUGAAAGAGCCCUUAGAUAGGAAAAAUAGGCCAAUAGGAGAGGAGCCUUUGUUUUUGCUAGGCUUUCUCUUUCCGACUACAAUAUCUCUGUCUUAUAGAACCUUGUAAAUCAAUGUCAAAGUCUAUCAAAGUAGAUGCUUUAUUUUACAGUCAUGAAAGAGUGAACAACAGAAACUAAAACAGAUGUGGAUCCUUCCUCCAAAGGCUGAGAGGUCAGGGCUCUUUCUUACCCCACGAACCUUGAUAAGCGACCCUUUGUUAAGGGUCGACCUGCUUUCCACUGCUCCACGUGUCUUUAGUAACCCUAUUUUCUUGAGUUGGGUUCAUAAUUUCCAUAACUAUAUAAUUUUACUUUUCUUGCAUAUAAUUUUUCAUAUAUAUUUAACUUUAUUUUCCUAUUUUAACAAAAAGCACAUAGGCAAAAGAAUCAAUAGUUGCAUUUGAAAAGAUAGAAUUAAUUAUAAUAUGUUUUCCAAGUGUACUUAUCAAAGUAAUCUCUUUCGUCUUUUCAAAUUUUCUUCUGCUUUUUCCUUCGUAUUCAUCCUCAAGGUUCCAUGCUUUUUCUCUUCGCUUAUCCUCCAAUCUCUCAUUUUUUUCUCUUUUUUUAUCAAUCUUUUCCCACUCUUUUUUCCUUUUUCCUUAAAUAUAUAUUAACAAAACUGGCCCUCAACGUUUUUAUCGUUCUUUUCUUUUUAAAUUCAUUAUCCUUCUUUUCUUUAAUUUAAGGUAUCUCAUCUUUUCUUCACCUUUUUUAUGGUUUCUUUUAUAAAAAGAAAAGAAUAAUAUUUAUGACCAUUUUUUUAUUUAUAUUUAUAAAAUUAAAUAAACAUGGAAGAUGGAGCUCAAUUGUUAGAGCACUCGCUUGGCCAGUUCGAUAGACACAGUUAGACAUAGUUAGACAUAGGGAUUGAUACCCAUUGGCAGCAUCUCCAUGGUCUUUUAAUCAAAUUCAAUAACACAUCUAUAUUUCUUUAUUUAUUAGAUUGUUGACUAGAAAAUAAGUUGGGGUUUUUUCCUCUUUUUAAAAAGUUGUCUUUCUUUUAGGAAAUCGAUUAAAAACUAUUUCGUAAAAAUAAUUGUAACAAAUGAGAUUUGGACUCACAACCAACACAACACUUGUGCAAGGGGGCACAACCACUUCAGCACAAGUAUAAUUUAGGCAAAGAAAAGCCGAAUUUACUAUGUACUACUAUAAUCUAACACUUAUAAGUAAGAGAGAUACAAAACUAUCUUCAAAUUGAUUCCAAACUAUCUUCAAAUCUAUCAACUGUGUACUGCUAAGCAAGAGAGAUACAAAAAGUAGAAGAUUCCAUUUUAUCAAAAUUAGACACAAUGGAAAUGAAUAUGUUGACUGUUAUAAACCACACACAACUAUAUAAAUACCAAACUCCUAACUCCUAAGUAUUCACGAACAAAACACAUAAACUUUACUACAUAAUAUAUCAUCUUCUAAAACUAUCUGUCCAUCAAAAGUAGAUUGUUGCAGUAUGAGUUUCGUAAUUAAGGGAUCACCCAUUCCAAACAUCGAUCAGCGAAAGGACGUGCAACAAAUUGGAGGGAUUGCAGUGGACAUACACAACGAAGAAAAAUCAGACACUUUGAUUUUCCAUCGUGUGAUAAACGGCCUGGAGCUUGUGAUUAAUGAUAUAAAUGGUAGCAUAUUGUCGUAUACUCUUGUGGUGGAAGCUAUAAAUAAGGAUAAAAAUAUCUGGACAUAUGUGACUUCCAUUAAAAUUACAAAACCAUCAAGCUAUGAACUCGUAUAUUUUAGAGAUCCCCUCGGGUACUACCCCGAAUAGUAUGAAAACAAUCCUUCUAUAUGUGUGUGUGUGUGAGAGGCAUUAUUGUCUUUUGCCUAUAUGAAAAUAAAUGGUAUAACCAUAUAAUAAGAACAAUGAUACUUACCUAUUAUCUCUCUUUCUAGUUUUUCUUUUUUAUCAAAUUUUGCAGUCAAGUAUACAUGGUGCAUUUCAGAAAUUAUAAUUUGUUAUAUAAUCGUAACUUGUUUGUCGGUCUUAGUGCUUCAUUAGGAAUUAAGGGAGAGCAACAUAUAGCGAGGCAUAUCUUUGACCUCAUUCAUUUCAAAAAUAUGAAACAAGGCCAAAGUGAAUAUAAUUAAUGCACAACUUCUAGGUAUUUUCCAUCGAUUUAAGGAUUCUCCUCCUUUUUCACGUUUCUCUCUCUCUCAAAAGCUUCCUUUUUUUUUCAUAUGAUAAAAAUCUUUUGAUACUAGUUGAGAUGUUUAGUACACCCUAAUCUCUCUUCACGUGAAACUAAAAGAUCCAAAGGAAAAAAAAAGACAUUUUCUCUAAAUUUUCAUCUCCCUCCACUAUCUUCCUUCUCUUUCCUUCAAAGAAAGAAAAUAACCAACAGCAACAAACCUCUAUCCCUUUUUUAUUUUUUCUUUUCCUUCCUUAAGCUUCUAGGUUUUUCUUUAAUUAUGUACAUGUGUAUUUUUUUUUCCUUCUAAUUUCUUCGUUUUUUUAAUAUCUACAAAUCAAACUGCCUCUCUACACAUCUCACGGCCUAUCUAGCAUAGUCUUACAAUAUAUUAGUGGGAUUUAUAACUUCUUUUAAAUUAAGGGUCGUUCUAGUUGAGAUGUAUUAUUGGUGCACCGUUUGACUCCUACUGCAAUAUUGUGAAUUUUAUAAAAAAAACAUAAAGAAAAAAGUUAUGGUAAAAGUUCUAAGAGCAAGUAAUGAUUUCUAUACCUUUUAUGACCUUAGCAGUAGUACUUUUAUGAGAAAAGACUGUAUUUUCAUUACCAUCACUAAGCCACAAUCUUUUGCAUCUUUGAGUCCAUAAUUGUGUCUCUUUAUGAAUUUUAUUGCUAAGAUCAGUUUUGAGGGCUAUUCUACGUGAGCUAUCCACAUCAUUCAAUUUAUUUGUAAAACGGAAAGGAGCAGGACCCCAAUUUAAGAUCAAAAGCUUCUAAAACCAUCGAAAAAUAAUCAGACGUAAUUCGGGACAUAACUUUGGAAUAAUGAAUUGAGAAAGAAUUUUCCCAUUUUUGAGCAAGGAGAAACCUAUCAAGCCAAGAUAAAGUUGGAGAAAGGCGGAGAUUUGACCAAGUAAAUUUUGCAUUAGUGAGGGGAGGGUCAAUAAGAUUACAAUUCUCAAUGAAGGAAUUGAACUUUUUCAUACUGUGCUUACCUGGAUUGCUUGCUGAUGUUUCUUUUGCCCACUUAAUGAUAUUAAAAUCACCUCCCAACAACCGGAUUGGUAAACUAAGAUUGUUUUAAUCAUUCAAGCACAUCCCAAAAGUCAUUUCUAUUUCUCCUUUUUGCUGGGCCAUAAACGGUCGUAAUACACCAAGAAGGGCCAUUGAUAGGUUUGAUAUUUGCAGAUAAACAGAAAGUGCCAACAAUGGAUUGUUCCAUAGAAAAAUUUUGAACAUCCCACGUUAAUAAAAUACCCCAGAGUUGUCAUUUGCUUUUAAGGAGUACCACUUUAUGCUGAUAAAGCUCCACAACGACUUAAUAAUAGCUUUGUUGGAGGCGUUGACGAGCCCACUCUAAAUUUACUCUAAAUCUCACAAACUUUUAAGAGAAGAAACUUGUUCUCUUAGAAAACUCAAUAACACACAAGAGAAUAAUGUUGUUCUCUUGAAACUCACUUACUUUUUAAAACUCAAUUUGCUUCUAUUGAUUUGAUUCUUUUAUCUUUCAUACAAAUGAAGAAAAUGUUCUCUAUAUAUAGUACUCAAGAGACACUUCCUAAAAGACACAAAAUAAAUAAAGUACAUGUAUACAUAUCAUUCAUGUACUUGAAUAAUUACAUGUAUCUAGAAAUGCAUAUGUAUCUUGAAAUUAGAAAUGUAUCUAUUAAUGGUUUAUCCAUAAUGUAUCUAGCUUAUUAAUUUCUAACAUGCCCCCUUAAGCUAGACUUCCCAAACUUCGAGCUUCUCUUUCAUUUUCAAGAAUAAAUCUGUCUUUAAUGCUUUUGUGAAUACGUCUGCAACUUGAUCUUGAGUCUUGCAAUACUUGAUAUAUACUUCUCCAUCUUUGAUCAAUUCUCUGAUGAAAUGAUAUUUGAUGUUUAUGUGUUUGCUUCUUCCAUGAAAAACGGGAUUCUUCGAAAGUGAAAUAGAUGAUUGAUUGUCACAGAACAUGAUGGUCCCUUUCUCUUGAGGACACUUCAAUUCAUGUAGUACAUUUCUUAGCCAAAGUGCUUGACAACUAGCAACAGACAAAGAAAUGUAUUCAGCUUCUAUUGUGGACAAUGCUACAACAUCUUGCUUCUUUGAUGCCCAUGAAACUGCUCCAGAACCAAUAUUAAAUACAUACCCAGAAGUACUUUUGAAAUCAUCAAUAUUUCCUCCCCAAUCACUAUCACUGUAGCCAACAAGAAAAUUAUCCACAUUCCUUUUAUAGUGGAUUCCAUGAUCAACUGUUCCAAGAAUGUAUCUAAGAACUCUCUUUCCAGCUUCCCAAUGACUUCUCUUUGGUGAUGUCAUAAAUCUACUCAAUAAAUUGACCGAGAACAUAAUAUCAGGUCUAGUUGUAGUUAAAUACAUUAAACUUCCAACCAGACUUCUAUAAAUGGUGGCAUCAAAAGCUUCACUAACAUCAUGUUUACUUAACUUUAAACCCAAUUCCAUAGGAGUACUGACAGGAUAAGCAUUCUCCAUUUUGAACUUUUUCAGCAAAUCUUUUGCAUACUUCUUUUGGAAAAUUGCAAUCUCAUUACACCUUGUUUAACUUCAAUACAAAGAAAAUAAUGAAGUAAACCCAUAUCAGUCAUCUCAAAUUCCUUUUUCAUGCUCUCUUUGAAUUCUUCAAUCAUCAUAUUUGAGUUGCCCGUAAAUAUUAAAUCAUCAACAUAUAGACAAAUUAUCAAGAAAUUACCAUUUUCAUCUCCUUUGGUGUAGAGAGCAUGUUCAUAUGGACAUCUUCUGAAACCAUCAUUUAAGAAAAAAUUGUCGAUGCGACUGUACCAAGCCCUUGGUGCUUGCUUUAGCACAUACAAGGCUUUCUUUAAUCGACACACCUUAUUUUCUUCUCCAAUCUUUGCAUAACCGGGGGGCUGCUCAACAUAUAUUUCAUCCUCUAAAUACCCAUUUAGGAAUGCUGACUUUACAUCCAUUUGAUGAACUUUCCAUUCAUUUUUUGCUGCAAGGGCUAACAACAAACGAACAGUCUCCAAGCGAGUUACCGGUGCAAAAACUUCUUCAUAAUCCACACCAAACUUUUGUUUGUAACCUUUUACAACGAAUCUGGCUUUGUAUUUUUGCACUUUUCCGUUUUGCUUUAGAUUUGUUUUAUAGAUCCAUUUGACUCCAAGAGCCCUUUUAUUUUCUGGUAAUUUUACUAACUCCCAUGUCUCGUUUCUUCUUAUUGCAUCAAUCUCUUGAUUCAUUGCAUCUUCCCAAUUUUCAUCUUGAAUUGCUUCUUCAAAGUUUACAGGAUCAACAUUUGCAAAUAAAGCAAAAUCAACAUGUUCUUCAUCUAGUAUCCUUCUUGAAGUAUUAUAGAUCUCUUGAAUAUAUUUCUGGUCUUCCUUGAAGUAGUUUCUUUAUCACUUGUGGAGUGUGAUGAAGUAGGUAAAGUCAGUGGUUGAGUUACUUCAAGCUCCAAGUCUCGAGCAUCUUCUUUGCCAUCCAUAUCAACAUGUAAUGGAUUUUGGUCUUCAUUUGGUGUAUUCCAUUGCCACAAUUUUGCUUCAUCGAACUUGACAUCUCGACUAAUAAUAACUUUCUUACUUACCGAGUUGUAUAGUCUGUAGGCCUUGGAGUUCUCAUUGUGCCGAACAAAAAUGCAUUUUUCUGAUUUAUCAUCUAGCUUACCUCUUUUCUCAUCUGAAAUGUGAGAGUAAGCAAUGCACCCAAACACUCUUAGGUGACUAACAGUUGGUUUCAAUCUGCUCCAUGCUUCUUGAGAAGUAAUACCUUGCACACUUUUCGUUGAAGCUCUAUUUAGGAGAUAAACAGCACAAGUUACUGCGUCUCCCCAAAAUUGAUCAGGAAGUUUCUUUGCCUUCAACAUACUUCUUGCAAGUUCCACUAUUAUUCUAUUUUUCCUCUUUGCAAUUCCGUUUUGUUGAGGAGUUCUUUGAACAGUCUUCUGAUGCUUGAUUCCAUUUUCCUUCAAGAAAUCUGCAAAAACAAUAUAUUCUCCUCCACGAUCCAAACGCAAUGAUUUCAAUUUCAAGUUUCUUUCAUUUUCCACCAUUGCUUUGAAUGUCUUGAAACAUUAGAAAGUAGCACUCUUUUCUUUGAGUAGAUAAAUCCAUGUUUUUCGACUGUAGUUAUCAAUAAAUGUGAGAAAAUAACGGUUACCUCCAUGUGUAGUAGUUCUCAUAGGUCCACAUAAAUUUGUAUGAACAAGCUCAAGUGGUUUUGAUGCUCUCCAAGAACCUCCAGUCGGAAAUGAAUUUCGAUGAUGCUUUCCGAAAACACAUGCUUCACAGAGUUGAUCUUCCUUUUUAAUAUUUGACAUUCCUCUCACCAUAUGUUGUUGACACAUGUGAGACAAAGUGUCAAAACUUAGGUGCCCAAAUCGACAAUGUCAUAACCAUGAGGUGUCAUUUACUAAAGUCUCAAAACAAACAAGCUUCUCAUACAUAUUUUAAUUGGAAACAUUUUGUUGUGAGUCAUACGAACCUUCGUUAUGAGAUCUCCAUUCCUUGUUCUAAUCUCACAUAUGUUAUCUUUAAAGAUAACCUCAUGUCCUCUUAGGAGAAGUUGGCCAACACUUAAAAGAUUGUGUUUGAGACCUGAAACAUAAUACACAUCAGUAAUUCUUUUUGCUCCCCUUUUUGUCUUGACAAGAAUAUCUCCUUUUCCUUUGACUUCAAGCUUCUUGUUGUCACCAGUCUUCACUACAUUUUGAUGAGAUUCAUCUAAAGAUAUAAAAAUAUCCUUUCUUCCUGUCAUGUGGUUACUACAACCACUAUCAAGAUACCAUAUUUCUUCAGUGCUUGAUUCUUGAACGUUGAGAGUGAGGAAGAGAAGACCUUGAUCAUUAUUUGAUUGUUCAUGCAUUAGCGUGGUUUCUGCUUGAUUAGAAUUAGCCUUCUUAGACCAACAGUCUGCUUGAAAAUGUCCAUAACGUCUACAAUUGAAACAUUCUAUGUGAGAAAAAUCUCCAUGACCACCACUUCUACCUCUUUCUCUAUUUGAACUUCUUCCCCGUCCUCUAUUUGAAAAAGAUUGAUUGUCUCUGCUUUCUGACUCUGUAUUUGUUACAACGUUGGAUCGUCCAUUGCCUCUACCACCACGUCCACCUCUUCUUCCAUUGGAUCGACCUCUAUAGAAAGACUGCAUAUGAAAAGCUUCUUCUGAAGGAGUAGAAUCAAACAUCUUCAAUCUGAGCUCAUGAGAUUGAAGAGAUCACAUUAAGCUAUUUAUAGAGAGAGUUGACAAAUCUUUGGAUUCUUCAAUUGCUACAACAAUAUGCUCAUAUUUUCUAGUCAUGCUUCUAAGAAUCUUCUCAACAAUCCUUUGAUCUUCAAUUGUUUCUCCAUUUGAUCUCAAUUGAUUAACAAUUAAGAGCACACGGUUAAAAAAUUCUUUAAUAGUUUCAUAAUCUUUCAUUCGAAUUGUAUCAAAUUCAGCUUUAAGUGUUUGUAAUCGGACCAAUUUUACCUUUUCUUCUCCUUCAUACAAAUUUUGCAAUGCAUCCCAUGCUGCUUUAGCAGUAGAGACUCCUGAUAUUCUUUCAAAAAUAUUUUCAUCCACAGCUUGGUACAUGAAAAAUAAUGCAUUCUUAUCCUUUUUUCUAGCAUCUCUUAACUCAUUGAGUUGUUGUGCUGAAAGACCAUUCUCACUUUCUGGCUCUGAAAUAUCCAAUGUCAACAAUAUCCCAAAGAUCUUGAUAUCCAUAAAGAACCUUUAUUUGCUGGCUCCACCGCCUAUAGUUUUUUCCCUCAAAGCGAGGAAGUUGAGGUUGCAACAUGUUAGAUGACAUCUUUCAAUCCUUGCUCUGAUACCACUUUGUUAGAGGCGUUGACGAGCCCACUCUAAAUUUACUCUAAAUCUCACAAACUUUUAAGAGAAGAAACUUGUUCUCUUAGAAAACUCAAUAACACACAAGAGAAAAAUGUUGUUCUCUUGAAACUCACUUACUUUCUAAAACUCAAUUUGCUUCUAUUGAUUUGAUUCUUUUAUCUUUCAUACAAAUGAAGAAAAUGAUCUCUAUAUAUAGUACUCAAGAGACACUUCCUAAAAGACACAAAAUAAAUGAAGUACAUGUAUACAUACCAUUCAUGUACUUGAAUAAUUACAUGUAUCUAGAAAUGCAUAUGUAUCUUGAAAUUAGAAAUGUAUCUAUUAAUGUGUUAUCUAUAAUGUAUCUAGCUUAUUAAUUUCUAACAAGCUUUUGAUACAUAACGAAAUUUGGUUUCAGUAAGAAUUACUAAGUCAGAAGAGUGGCUAGAAACAUAACUAUUUUCAUAACAGAAUAAUCAAUUGAAAUGCCUUAUUAAAAGGCUUACAAAAAACUAGUAUUUACUAAAAAUAAAACCAUGUUGACAUUCAGAUUCUCGCCGUCUUGUUCCAAUUUUUCUUGUUUUUUUUUGGGGAGGGGGGUGGGAAACAACAAUAUUUUCGAUAAACGAAUGUUGUUCCGCUUUCAAGUUAAAUUCAUCAAAGGAAAUGGCAGCUUGUCUUGAGAACGUACCAUCUAUGUGUGGGUUCCUUUCAAUUAGCCAACGUCCCUUCACAGGUAUCACAGUUUGGACCAGAAAUGUGUUGCCCUCCUUAUCAAUGAUGUUUAUUGUGGCUGGUAUGAACCCAGUAUAAUUGAGUCUGACUUUAAUGUUUGCCUCUACGAUGUCGAAUGCAUUUAGGUUGUUCUUUUGGGGCUUUUUGCUCUUUUUGAAUGCAUUCCUUUGUUUCUUAUAAAAAUGACGAUGAAAAUCAUAGACAUGGUUUCAUUGGCCUAAGCCUUGCCAAAUUGGAUGGAGCCAUGCUGUAGGAGAUCUCACUCCCAUUUGGUUACUCUUCAUAAAGAUUUAUUUGUUUUUCUUACAAUAAAUGUGAUGUCACUCCUCGUGAAGAAACCAUGUUUAUCUCCCUUAUGGUGAUUAGUUUGAAGUUAGCAUUUAGUGGUAUUCAUUUGACAUUAUUGGAUUUAUGGGGUUGAGAUUGUUUCAAAGCUAUCAAUGUCACAUAGAGACUUUUUGUUGAGACUUUUUGAGGACCUUUUAGGUGAUUUGAAAGUCAGAUUUAGGCCAUGCAUCUUCUUUAAUUUGAACCUCCACAUUAAAAUAGGACUUAAUGAUUUUAAUGUACAUUUUUCAGAUUUAUGUAGUUUGAAGGAGCGGGGAAUGAAGACUUUCUUAGUGAGUUAACUAUUUUUUGUGUUGUAAUUUUUUUUUUUUUUUUGUUCAUUUUGGUAUGCCAAAGUGAAAUGUAAUAUAGCUCACGAACCUUGACACACUAAAGAAUGAUUGUUUGCCAUAUUUUGACCAAGUAUUGAAUUGUGGAUUGUGAUAUUAAUGGUUGAAAAUAUUUUUCAUUUUUAAAUUUUUGGUUGCAGUGUUUAAUGUAUUAUGGUGUAGAAAUUCAUUCUACAUGUAAAAUUUAAUUUAUAAGCAUACAAUAUUAUAUUAAUAAUAAAUGUGGAAAAAUUUAAAUUGUUUUUGUCAUGUUCUUUGUGUGGUUAGAAAUAUGUUGGCAAUUAGAAAGUUCUGCGACGUUUAUGCUUGGACAAAAAAAAAACAAAUAUUAUUUAAAAACAAAUUUAGCCUGGGGAGAAAUUUUGUUUUGUCCACAAAGAUCUUUUCGUUGGCAGAACUAGCUUCCGCCCACGAAACAAACGUGGCCAGAAAGUUUAUUUUUGUCGACGUGAUGAUGAUCAUGGGUAAAAAAUACCUUUCGUUUUUUUGUGGUCAGAAGGUUUACUUUUGGCGACGUGAUGUAAUCGUGGGCAAAAAUACAUUUUUGUCGACAUUUUUUUCGUGGCUAGAAAUAUUUUUUCUGCCCACGAUUUUAAUUUGCAUGAACAUUUGUGCCGACGCAACGUAAAAAACGUAGGCAAAGAAAAAGACGACGGUGUUUCGACCACCCAACGUGCCCACGAAAAAAAGUGUUGGCAAAAGGUCUGGCCACGUUUUUCAUAAGAAGUGUCCAUGGUUUUCUGCAUGGGCAAAGACGAAAAUUCUUGUAGUGUUUUUUGUUGUAUGUUUUCUGUAGCCAUAAAAAAUAUUCGGGAAACCUUUUCUCCAAGAAGAAUCCGGUUGUAUGUGGGUAUCCAAUUACCAUCUUAGUUUCCCUCUAAAUCCAAGUUUACUAAGUUAUCUUGAUGGGUAAAAUAAAUUAAAUGGGACCUUUGAGGAGGUUGUAAAGGAAGUGUCUUAUAGGAAUUCUUUUUCAUAAUGACUUGUUAAGAUAGCUAGUGCUUUUGAUGUUUAAAUAUUACCAAAGGUUCUAAAUUAUGUUAAUUUUGGGGAAGGAAAAACAAUAAAUUGAAGAAUUGAACCCUCGUUGAAGCCAUUUUUAUGGGUUCUCCAUAUACAUUAAUGAGCUAUGUUUGGGUAGAUUUUUCUUAUGGUUGUUGAAUUAAGUUUUGACACUGAAAGUUUUUUUUUUAGGCUUUCUGAAAGUUGAUGUCUGUUCAAGGAAGGGAAUUUUUGGAUUGAGAAAUUAUAGGAUUCAAACUAAGUGUUAAAUAUGAUUUGAUUUAGGCUAUCUCCAUAUUCUAGCUUUUCUGUUUUAGGGAUUGUAUAGUAUGUUUUUUACCCAAAUUUGGAAUUAACGGUAUCUAUCCUUAUCGAGGCUUAUUUGUGUGAAGACACAUUUUUUGUUGUUCAAAAUUCUCUAGAAUGAAAAGAUUCAUUGUGUGUUACACUCACAUGACCUCACACUUUAAUAAUUUGAUAGUUGUUAACCGACCGUUAUGUUGUUCUACCUAGUUUCUUCUUAUGGUAAUCGAUAUUUCUGAUAUUUUUGGUCGACUGUGGAUCAACAUUUAUGGCUGAAGUAAAUGAUUGGCGUGACUCGACGGAUAACCAUAUAUGUUGGGCUACUUCAACUACCAUCUUUCCUACUUUAUAUUUUUUGGAUUUUUGGACCGAGCAUUAGAAGAAAUCUGACCUUUAACGUCGGUUGAAAAAAAAUGAAAACGGAUCUUUAAUGUCAGUUUUUUAAAUGGGGAUGUUUAGUGUCGGUUUUCAACCGUCAUAAAAAAGUUAUGGUAAUUUUUUUUUUUUAAAUUUUGUAGAGUCAAGUAUCCCUCGUUUAGUCUCACAUUUCUUCCUCGCCUCACGAUUUCUUCUCUCUCAAUUUUCUCUCAGUUUCUCCUCACUCUUCUCAAUCUCACUUUACUCCACCGUCAAGUCCGCCACAGUGGUGCCGUCCCAAAUCUUCAAAAGAUAUGUCGUCCAUCGUCGCACUGUUCCAGAUCUUCGAAGAUCUGUCGAACGUCGUCCCAAAUAGAAACCCUAAGUAUUCUCCAUGAAAUUGAAUCCCUUGUUUGAAACUCACGUUCAUCGUGCGACAUCAUCUUCUCUUUUUUGUGAGCCUUGGUAUAUAGCUACAGAUUUUGUUUUUCUUCUUUCACAAUAGUUUCUAAAUUAUCAAAGUUUCAUUUAAGUGUUAAGAUAUCAAUUCGUAGGAACAAGAGCUUAACUUCAAUUUCAAACCAGAAUGGAGAUCCUCCACAUUCCAUGGUCAUCGUGGCUAAUAAUAAGAAGAUAAUGGACACGAAUCCUAGAACAAAUGGGGCAGUAUAUCAUCAAGAUUCAAAACCCUCGAGCAGUAAGUAAGAUUGCACUUUAUUUUCCUAUUUUAACAAAAAGCACAUAGGCAAAAGAAUCAAUAGUUGCAUUUGAAAAGAUAGAAUUAAUUAUAAUAUGUUUUCCAAGUGUACUUAUCAAAGUAAUCUCUUUCGUCUUUUCAAAUUUUCCUCUCCUUUUUCCUUCGUAUUCAUCCUCAAGGUUCCAUGCUUUUUCUCUUCGCUUAUCCUCCAAUCUCUCAUUUUUUUCUCUUUUUUUAUCAAUCUUUUCCCACUCUUUUUUCCUUUUUCCUUAAAUAUAUAUUAACAAAACUGGCCCUCAACGUUUUUAUCGUUCUUUUCUUUUUAAAUUCAUUAUCCUUCUUUUCUUUAAUUUAAGGUAUCUCAUCUUUUCUUCACCUUUUUUAUGGUUUCUUUUAUAAAAAGAAAAGAAUAAUAUUUAUGACCAUUUUUUUAUUUAUAUUUAUAAAAUUAAAUAAACAUGGAAGAUGGAGCUCAAUUGUUAGAGCACUCGCUUGGCCAGUUCGAUAGACACAGUUAGACAUAGUUAGACAUAGGGAUUGAUACCCAUUGGCAGCAUCUCCAUGGUCUUUUAAUCAAAUUCAAUAACACAUCUAUAUUUCUUUAUUUAUUAGAUUGUUGACUAGAAAAUAAGUUGGGGUUUUUUCCUCUUUUUAAAAAGUUAUCUUUCUUUUAAGAAUUCGAUUAAAAACUAUUUCGUAAAAAUAAUUGUAACAAAUGAGAUUUAGACUCACAACCAACACAAGACUUGUGCAAGGGGCACAACCACUUCAGCACAAGUAUAAUUUAGGCAAAGAAAAGCCGAAUUUAAUAUGUACUGUAAUCUAACACUUCAAAAAAUUGAUUCCAAACUAUCUCCAAAUCUAUCAACUUUGUACGGCUAAGCAAGAGAGAUACAAAAAGUAGAAGAUUCCAUUUUAUCAAAAUUAGACACCAUGGAAAUGAAUAUGUUGACUGUUAUAAACCACACACAACUAUAUAAAUACCAAACUCCUAACUCCUAAGUAUUCACGAACAAAACACAUAAACUUUACUACAUAAUAUAUCAUCUUCUAAAACUAUCUGUCCAUCAAAAGUAGAUUGUUGCAGUAUGAGUUUCGUAAUUAAGGGAUCACCCAUUCCAAACAUCGAUCAGCGAAAGGACGUGCAACAAAUUGGAGGAUUGCAGUGGACAUACACAACGAAGAAAAAUCAGACACUUUGAUUUUCCAUCGUGUGAUAAACGGCCUGGAGCUUGUGAUUAAUGAUAUAAAUGGUAGCAUAUUGUCGUAUACUCUUGUGGUGGAAGCUAUAAAUAAGGAUAAAAAUAUCUGGACAUAUGUGACUUCCAUUAAAAUUACAAAACCAUCAAGCUAUGAACUCGUAUAUUUUAGAGAUCCCCUCGGGUACUACCCCGAAUAGUAUGAAAACAAUCCUUCUAUAUGUGUGUGUGUGUGAGAGGCAUUAUUGUCUUUUGCCUAUAUGAAAAUAAAUGGUAUAACCAUAUAAUAAGAACAAUGAUACUUACCUAUUAUCUCUCUUUCUAGUUUUUCUUUUUUAUCAAAUUUUGCAGUCAAGUAUACAUGGUGCAUUUCAGAAAUUAUAAUUUGUUAUAUAAUCGUAACUUGUUUGUCGGUCUUAGUGCUUCAUUAGGAAUUAAGGGAGAGCAACAUAUAGCGAGGCAUAUCUUUGACCUCAUUCAUUUCAAAAAUAUGAAACAAGGCCAAAGUGAAUAGAAUUAAUGCACAACUUCUAGGUAUUUUCCAUCGAUUUAAGGAUUCUCCUCCUUUUUCACGUUUCUCUCUCUCUCAAAAGCUUCCUUUUUUUUUCAUAUGAUAAAAAUCUUUUGAUACUAGUUGAGAUGUUUAGUACACCCUAAUCUCUCUUCACGUGAAACUAAAAGAUCCAAAGGAAAAAAAAAAAGACAUUUUCUCUAAAUUUUCAUCUCCCUCCACUAUCUUCCUUCUCUUUCCUUCAAAGAAAGAAAAUAACCAACAGCAACAAACCUCUAUCCCUUUUUUAUUUUUUCUUUUCCUUCCUUAAGCUUCUAGGUUUUUCUUUAAUUAUGUACGUGUGUAUUUUUUUUUCCUUCUAAUUUCUUCGUUUUUAUCAUAUGUACAUGGUUUCAUUGGCCUAAGCCUUGCCUUGAAUACAGAAGCCAAAAAACAUAAACUUCUGUAUUUUCAUAACACAAUGAUCAAUUGAAAUGCCUUAUUAAAAGCCUUACAAAAAACUGGUAUUUACUAAAAAUAAAACCACUUUGACAUACCACCUAUCCACUAACUUAACCUGUUAACAGAAAAUAAAUUAAAAAACAUUAAUUUAGAUAAUCACAUAAUUUGAAUCAGUAUUCAAUACAAGUUACAAAAUUUGUGUGUUGGCCCUCCUAACACCCCCAUUUUGUCUUUUUUCUUUUUCAAUUGUCUUUUUAAUCCCCUCGUCAUUUUCGCUUUAUUAAAAAAAUAAGAAAUGAAGUACAUCAAGAGUGUCCUCCUUAAAAAAUACAAUUUGGAUCAGCAGGUGCUCUAGAAAUUUCAACAAUGAAUCAAAAGUAUCUUUUUAAACUAUUCUAUUAAAGUAUUUUUUUUUUAUUAGAAAUGAUAUAUGUAUCAACAGCAAAUCGUCAUUUGAACUCUAAAUCUAGGUCUCACACACAAGAUUCCAUUAUAUCAAUUCGACUAAUAUCUCUCACACGGAAUUAUAAAUAAGAAACUCCUUAAUAAUAACAAGCAAAAUAAGUCAGCGACUUAAAUAAAAGUAGUGUGUAUAUAUAUAUAAUUACAAUAUUAAUUCAUCAAAUGAAGGAAAAGGAAUAGCGAUUAAAGAUGUGGAUGAUGAAUUUGUGGAAGAAGUUGCAAAGGUUUGCAGUUGAAGUACGAAGGUGUGGUGAGAGUGGUAAGUUGCAAAGGUUGUGGUUGCUCUCCUUUUGGAUAAUUUGGUUGGAAAGAAAUAACCAAAAUUUCAACGUUAAACAUGUCAGCAAUGCAGGAUUAUGGGAAAACAUAUGUAACCAGUCAGUCCUCCCCGCUCCGUGGGCUCUUAGGCGGCUAGCUCAAGGGGAACUGUUGGCAAAGAAUCCAUGCUGGGAACAAUCUCUCUCUGCUUUCAUCUUCUCGCUUCCCUAGUUAGGAUAGUCGGACCUAUAUAUUCCCACAGGGUGGUCGGACGAUUCAAGAAUUUCACUAAGAAGUCAAAAACUCAAAACUUCUGUUACUUUAGCUAUGAUGCGUAUUAGCAAAUUUAAAUCAAGAGAGAGUAUUGAAGACUGAUUCAAAUAACGUAAUUAUCUUAACUUAAUGUUUUUAAUUAUUUAUGUUAAUAGGUUAAGUUUGUGGGUAGGUGGUUUAUCAAGGUGGUUAUUAUUUUUAGUAAGUAUUUUUUUAAGCCUUUAAUAAGGUAUUUUAAUUGAUUAUUCUGUUAUGAAAAAAAUUGUGAAGUUUUUUCGUCUGCUGAAUUUUUGCUUGUGUAUUCAUAAGUUGUCUCAAAGUUUUCCAACAGAUUUGAGCUUAUUGAUUACUUUCUCAAAUAUGGAGGAAAUAUUAAACUUUCGGUGUUAAAUGAGGAGAGAAAGAGGAUGGUGGUGGAAGGAAUUCUGAAAUGGGUUUGUGGGCAGUGAAAAGACGGAAAGCCGCCGGAGAUGAGGAGGUAGUUGCCAACUUGCCAAGGGGUUUAGAGGAGAGAAGUGUUGCAGCCGCGUCGGAGGAGAUGGAGUGGAGGGAGAAGCCGGGAACGGGGAGUUGUUUAGACACCGGUGAUAUCAAUCUUGGUAUCUUUAGUUGGUUACAGUCAACCGCCAAUGUAUCUUAAUUUUGAUCUGUUGAAGAAAACAUUCAAAUGGAUUUAUUCUGGAAAAAAAAAAAUCCCCGAGUUCUACAAAGAGAUUCAUUCUUAGAUUGAAAGAAAAAAGAUGGGGACCAAUGUUAUAUUUAUAUACCAAAAUUUACAUUUUAUUGAUAGUUCCCGUAAAACAAAGACUUUGAUAUUGAGGCGUAACAAAGGUGUUAAAUAGGAGUAAAUCUGGUUGAGAUGGACGGAUCCUAUGAAUUAUUUUUAAAAAAUUUGAAGAAACUGUUAAUAUUUUUUAAUUCACAAAGAAUUAGGGUAUAGUGAAUGUUUGGAGUUAAAUGUCACAAAUCACUUGAAUUUAGAGCACAUUACAAGAAAAUCAAACGUGCAUAUAUAUGUAUUAUGUAUAUGCUUGUGUGUUAUAUAUAUGUACGUAUGUCGUCAACUAGAUAAAAUAAAACAAAGUUAGUUAACACACAACCAAGCAUACAUGUGAGUUUAAUAAUUUUACGUACUUUUAUUACCUCACAAACUAUUGGUAAUAGUUUUUAAGUUCAUGUAAAACAUAUAUUAGAGCGGAUAUCAAUGACACAGAGAGUGUCAAUAUAUAGUUAUUGCAUGCACCACUAGGGAAGGGGAACAAAGUUUAUAAGCUUUUUGGAUGCAGUAGUUUCCAAUACGAUGAUGCUAUAAAACCUUUGCAUUCCGAGAGGGGAGUUUUGGGCGAGAAUAACAAGGAUAUAAUAUUUCUCGUUAUCCAUAAGCAUUCUGUUACCGACCAGGCCAGCUUCCACUUGAUUGAAGAUCAUGGUUUGUUCAUGCUCUUUCACACCAAAUUCUGCUAUCUUUUUCACGUGUGUAUCAGUCCUUGAAAUUGGCUUCCAGUUUCCGAAGACAUCCGAACUCGACUCACCCUCAAGUACUAUAGAGUCAUCAAAAUUAGCCAUAACUUUGGAUUCUCCUCAGUAAACUACUUGAAGUACAAAUCGAAGAUCAACAAAUGAUCUUCUGAGUAAAGAUUUGAUGAAGAAAUUUUGUAUUUGUCGGUGGUAUGUGUUCUCAAUUGUAAGGAGGGUUUAAGUAUCAUAUACAAAUGUGUAGGUGUUUUCCUACUGUGAAAUUUGAUAAGGUCGAAUAUCCA
RNAcentral lists this long non-coding RNA (23893 nucleotides) under Cucumis sativus (cucumber). Its description in RNAcentral is "long non-coding RNA (CSAT_LNC002714)". The record is from RNAcentral. Lineage: Eukaryota; Viridiplantae; Streptophyta; Magnoliopsida; Cucurbitales; Cucurbitaceae.